This is a long non-coding RNA of Numida meleagris (helmeted guineafowl), 4977 nucleotides long. RefSeq lists it as uncharacterized. The record is from RefSeq and is a predicted model, not a curated record. Lineage: Eukaryota; Metazoa; Chordata; Aves; Galliformes; Numididae. The transcript has 2 exons.
CGCCCCCCGCGCCCCGCCCCCGCCGCGCCCCUGACCAUAGAGGCGGGCCUCCGGAUCUGCCCCGUCCUCUGCUUCGAGCCCUGCUGCAGUCCCCGCUGAGCUCCAGCAGCGUGGCGGUACCCAAGUCAAAUGCACUCCGCUUGCACCUGGCUCACCCCGGCAAAACCAUUAUCUGCUGCUUAAAUUAAAGAGAUUUUUUAUUUUCAAAACUAAGAUUAAAAAGUCAAUCUGAUGAGCUAUUGGUAUGCUUUAACCUUUGCUACAUGACACAGAACUGAGGAGAUAAUUAAGGCCAGCAGCUGACUGGAAGGCUGAUGUUCUGGCCCAACAAAGGCUCUUCCAAACAAGUUUUACCGGGUACGGGUUAGAAAAAGGUUCUUAAAAACAUCCUGUGUGCAGAGGGUGCCUUCCUAGCUUCUCCAGUGGGUAGUCACAGGAGACGCUUCCCUGUGCCUGCACUUCUACACCAGCUUCAGUAAUGAGGGAACGACGGAGGAACACGUCCAAAAACCCAAUUCCUCAACUCCAGAUAUUAAAUACUCCUCCAUAAAAUGGCAGAGUUGCAAAUCAGAGAGAGGUUUUUAAUGAUAAGAGCCUCUGCGUUACUUCAUUGCUUCCACAUCCAUAACAGGUGAAAUAGAUUUGAACUGAUUCUUGCGUCAUCAAGAGACAUUAAAUUCUAAUGGGAUUUUUAUCAUUGUAAUGCUUAGGCCAGAAACAGGGUUUGACAUUCCUAAUAUCAAGUUGAGUUUGUGGGGCUGGUCUUUACAAGACUAUUUUCAAAGAUUGUUACAAUAUUUUUACUUCCAAUCUAUGCAGAUCUAACAUGGUAUUGGUGAGAGACAAUGAAAUAUAGAAUCCCAGACUGUAAUUUGUAUUGCCAUUCUCCAGUAUUACAGCCACAUGUAUAACACAAUAUCUUUCCUGUUCGUUGUGGAAUGUGAACUGAAGAGAAAUAACCCUGAGAAGAAAAAAAACCCAAAAAACAAUAACAUACAACAGUUUUACCUCUGAGAGAGGAGAAAAAAAUCCAAACCAACACUGAAUAUUCUUUGUGGGCCACAAAUCCAUUGUUCUUUUCUGUUUUAGCAAAGACUAACUGCUCAAAAUGCUUCCUACCCAGCUGCACCUACCAAUAAAAUAAGCAGGAGCUGCUUUGCUCACAGAAAACAAGAACCUAACUGUGUGGGCUGCACAGCACUUUCACUGUUUAGAUGGUAAAAGAAAAUUACAGUAAUUAUGACGUAUAUCAAAACCUGCUCAGCCUGAAGUAAAUGACAGAAGUCCUGCUUGUGUUAAUGGUUCUAGUCUUGGCUCAUUAGUUAACACUGUGAGUUCUCCACAAGGAUUCAUAUAAAACAGAUAUUCUGCCUUAAAACACUAUUUUUCUUGUGUCAAAAUGGAUUGGAUUUUUGUUGUGGGUUUUUUUCUUUUUCCUAGAAAGAAGAAACAAGACUCAUGCUGUUUUUAAUAUUUACUAUUUCCUCACUGUUUCACAAAUACCCAGGCCAUGUUCCAGCAGACACCCUUGUGAAGACCACAGAGGCCUGCAAAAGUCCCCUCAAGGCUGUGGAGCUGCUUCACCUGAGCUUGUAUCAGGACCUUGGACUAACCUCCUGGAUGCGAAUUUCCAGCAGUUUGCAAGAGUUUGUCCUCCUACCCUGCCUCAUUUUGAAUUUUGCCAAAGCCUUGAGCAGGGACCAGUCCCUUCUAGCCAAGUGGGACUGGCAGGGUGCAAAGCCCCUGGCCCCACAGCAAUGCCAUGCUGCAGGGCCAAGGAGGGGCUGGCCCUGCUCCAGCACACAGACGCAGGAAGCAAUCAUGGCUGUCCGAGCAUGGGAGCAGCUUCCUUUUCCCACGGUGGUGGAAGGAAACCAGAUCUGAACUGUCACUCGCAGACUCACUCAUUGUUAUGUGCUCGGACAAGGGCAUAUUUAUCGUUCUUGCUGUGACAUUGCUUUAUCUGUUUAACUGUAAGCUUGAAUUUCACCAGCAUAAUAUUUAGCAAUUUCAAAUAAGACCAACAGGAAAACAUUCAGGACAAUGAAGACCUGCAAAGCUGCAACACUGUAAGUCUGUAAUGUUGGUUCCAAAAAGGCUUGGGGGAAAGAUGAGAAAAAGCCUGUAAAACCUACUGAGAUGUUAGAGGAAGAUAUUCUGCCUGAAGCACUGUAUUUCCACCAGGAAGAACUUAGCUUGGUGAAACAACAGUAGUGAAUAUAACUAAGAAAUUACUGUUAAAAAUAGAGUGAGAACGAGGAGGAAAGACCUUAGAAAACACACUCUUCUGCAACUGUUGUUCACUGUUCUCACAGCCAGGCAAGGAUGAGUUUCAAAGCAUUUUCAGGGCAGGUGCAAGGACAGCGACAGAAGAGCCAAGGCACAGUGGCUGUAAGCUCCCUUAGGUAGCAGCCUAAUGUGAAUGGAGCCCACAGCAGGGCAUGUCUGCCUUGCCCUAGGGUGAGGAAGUUUUGAAUGACACAGCCCCUGGUGGGGCACUGAGGCUGCCCUUUAUGCUACGUCUGUACUUAAGUGAGACACUGCAAUGAGAAGUAAGGCUGAUACACAUCUCGGGUCUUUCCUGCUGUCAGCCACACUGAUGCACAUGCAAAUAUGGUGAUGUCACUUGCAAAUUCACCGCACAUAAAUGAGACAGAACACGUCUUUGGUAACAGCAUCUCAUUUGAACAAUGUGUUUUUUUCACUAGGCAUAUGGGGAUUUGUUUUCAUGCUUCCAAGGGAAUUUUCCAAUCAAUGGAAAAUAAAAUGUACAAGGUAUUAAGAAAACCAAAAUGAACUACCAAACAAUAGCAUUAGCCCUGUUUAUUUUUAGAUAGUGCAAUUUUCAGGCACUUUAAGAGGAUUUCUCAGGAUGGGUUCACUGUUAUCCAAGAGUUUUUCAGCACUGACGCCACACAACUGUUAUCAUUGUUAGGACUCAGGGGACUGUUCUUUUUGACAGGGCCUUUCAAGAAGUCAACAAAUCAGUUUAAAAUAAGUCAUAAAUUAUACUUGGCUGCCUAUCAGCUUGGCCAGAGCGUUCUCUCAGUGCUGUCAUAAGUGUUAGGGAAAGAGGAUAACAACAUGGCCCAAUGUUUAGCAUUUAGGGAAUAUUUUGUUCCCAAUUUAAAAACAAAGUAUCCCCAUAGCAUUGACUCUGAUGACUAAAUAUAUGCUAAAACAGUAAUCAAGAUGUUCACACUUUACUCCAAAUAAAUACACCCAUUCUGAAUCCUAAGUAAUGCCCUAAUAAAUAAUGGAUUUGUUACAGGUCUUCUGCUGCAAAUGCCUGCCACUCACAGCUACAUUAGGGAGCUGUCAGCAGGAUCAUCUCCCACAUCUCACCUCCUGUACCUGUAUGUGAAGAGACUUGGUUCCUGAUAACCAGGAUCCAAGCCUUACAUAGCCCUCUAGAUUAUUAUUAACAUCCUGAACUGCAGCCAGAAUGAACUGAAAAGACAAUACUGUCUACUCAUAGUCUGCUGAGUUAUCAGCUAAGGCUUCAGCCAGUGCAGCCAAACAAGUAAUCACACGCAGAGGCUGUUACCAUUGGAAGCAUUCAGUUACUUAUUUUACAUAGAUUUUCCCAUCAGUGUUAAAUCUGAGGUGUCACGCAGAGCCAUUAAUACACCCCCAUGAGCUCAGUAGGAGUUAAAGGUCAGAAUAGUGAGAGCAGCUGUGGGAAGACUGUAAUUAUACAGAAGUGGGGACACAAUGUGUAGAAAGAGAAAUAGAGUGUCCCCUGGUGAUGUUAGAAGCAGUCUGGCUCUUGAAGUACCUUUCUUCAGCACUGACACAAUUCCUUCGCAUGCCUUCCCUUGACCUACCAGAGUCGCUCACACCUUAGCUGAAUUGAUUGCUGGUUUCUGCUCCUUUUCCAGGGCUCUGCUUUAUCUUGGGAAAAUGGAGGGACAUUCCCUCCAUGAAAGAGGGACAGGCAGAUAGACACUAAACAUCACAGCCCAAGUCUCACAUACUUGAACAGAGAGAAGACUGACUGAAACCUCCUUUGUGCUGGAAAGUCAAUUCCUUUCUGUUCUUUCUGAUGGGCAGGAAAAGCACUAUCCACUGCAAUCGACAACCAGUCUGGUCUGUCCUGCCAAGAUCUCAGACUGAUAAAGCCUCUGUAGCACCACAAACCAGAGCUUGCUCUCACUCUCACGAUUACACCAAGAGCUUUAAGGAAAUGGUAAAUUGAAUUCCUUGCCUCAGAGGGAAUUUAUUUCCCCUUUGGCCCAGUGAAAUAAUCUGUGCCAGACAUUACUUUUGGCCUUUAGACUCAUAAAAGCCUGUCUGAAAGCUACUAUGGCUUCCUUUUUCUACGUCUCUGAAGCACAGAAAGUAGCAAUAACUGUCCAGCAUUUGAGAAAAAAAAAAAAAAAGUUUUUGUGAGUAUGCAUUUGUAAGGGUUUUUAGUCUUGGAUUUUUCUAACCCUACUCUGUCUCUUUGUAAUCUACUGCAAGACAAACCAUACUCUGCAAUGAACUCACCAAGGUCUUUGCCAUCACCCAGUAUCAGUAGGUAAAUUUUGUUUACUUUCAACAGGAGAUUUUUAAUUAAUUUAAUACAAAAAUGAUUUGCACUGCUCUAGGGGCAAUCCCUGAAAAGAUGUAUUUUGAUCUUGAUCUUAUUUUCUUGUAUGCUGGCCUCACAUUUCUUGAUUUGGGGGAUAGCAAAUGGUCUCCUUUGCAUAGCACAUACUUGCUUUACAAAAGACGUAAGGCUCAAGCCUGGAUACGUAAGCACGUAGGCAUGAGACAGGUAAGCCUUCAGUGUUCAAGGAGGAGGAGGAAAUUGUAUGUUGUGGGAUAGACACACAAAUGUAAUAUUUUGACUCUAGAAGGAUUAGCAAUGAAACAGUUAAUAGACAUUUUUAUGUUUCAUAAUAUAUGAUAUCUCACUGUGAUAAUGAACUACCAGCCAUGUUCGUAGCAGUCACUGUCUUGUUUUAGAGAUAACACUGCUUAGUCUGUGGA